This 65-nucleotide transfer RNA is filed under the name Staphylinidae sp. BMNH 1274633. Its description in RNAcentral is "tRNA-Leu". Lineage: Eukaryota; Metazoa; Arthropoda; Insecta; Coleoptera; Staphylinidae. The record is from RNAcentral.
UCUAAUGUGGCAGAAUAGUGCAACGAAAUUAAGCCUCGUUUAUAAAGUAAUUACUUUUUUUAGAA